AUUGAGCGCUGGCGGAAUGCUUUACACAUGCAAGUCGAACGGCAGCACGGGGGCAACCUGGUGGCGAGUGGCGAACGGGUGAGUAAUACAUCGGAACGUGCCCAAUCGUGGGGGAUAACGUAGCGAAAGCUACGCUAAUACCGCAUACGAUCUACGGAUGAAAGCGGGGGAUCGCAAGACCUCGCGCGAAUGGAGCGGCCGAUGGCAGAUUAGGUAGUUGGUGGGGUAAAGGCUCACCAAGCCUGCGAUCUGUAGCUGGUCUGAGAGGACGACCAGCCACACUGGAACUGAGACACGGUCCAGACUCCUACGGGAGGCAGCAGUGGGGAAUUUUGGACAAUGGGCGCAAGCCUGAUCCAGCCAUUCCGCGUGCAGGAUGAAGGCCCUCGGGUUGUAAACUGCUUUUGUACGGAACGAAAAAGGCUUUCUCUAAUACAGGGAGCUCAUGACGGUACCGUAAGAAUAAGCACCGGCUAACUACGUGCCAGCAGCCG
Molecule: ribosomal RNA, 494 nt
Filed under: uncultured bacterium
Lineage: Bacteria
Description: bacterial SSU rRNA
Rfam family: Bacterial small subunit ribosomal RNA
Source: RNAcentral